RNAcentral lists this ribosomal RNA (651 nucleotides) under uncultured Pseudomonas sp. RNAcentral's name for it is "bacterial SSU rRNA". It matches the Rfam family "Bacterial small subunit ribosomal RNA", at positions 28 to 674 of the family's 1533-position model. The record is from RNAcentral. Lineage: Bacteria; Pseudomonadati; Pseudomonadota; Gammaproteobacteria; Pseudomonadales; Pseudomonadaceae.
AUCGAACGUCGGCGGCAGGCCUAACACCUGCAAGUCGAGCGGCUGAAGAGAGCUUGCUCUCUGAUUCAGCGGCGGACGGGUGAGUAAUGCCUAGGAAUCUGCCUGGUAGUGGGGGACAACGUUUCGAAAGGAACGCUAAUACCGCAUACGUCCUACGGGAGAAAGUGGGGGAUCUUCGGACCUCACGCUAUCAGAUGAGCCUAGGUACGAUUAGCUAGUUGGUGAGGUAAAGGCUCACCAAGGCGACGAUCGUUAACUGGUCUGAGAGGAUGAUCAGUCACACUGGAACUGAGACACGGUCCAGACUCCUACGGGAGGCAGCAGUGGGGAAUAUUGGACAAUGGGCGAAAGCCUGAUCCAGCCAUGCCGCGUGUGUGAAGAAGGUCUUCGGAUUGUAAAGCACUUUAAGUUGGGAGGAAGGGCAGUAAGUUAAUACCUUGCUGUUUUGACGUUACCGACAGAAUAAGCACCGGCUAACUUCGUGCCAGCAGCCGCGGUAAUACGAAGGGUGCAAGCGUUAAUCGGAAUUACUGGGCGUAAAGCGCGCGUAGGUGGUUUUGUAAGUUGGAGGUGAAAUCCCCGGGCUCAACCUGGGAACUGCCUCCAAAACUGCAUGACUAGAGUACGGUAGAGGGUGGUGGAAUUUCCUGU